CCUCCUACGGGAGGCAGCAGUAGGGAAUCUUCCGCAAUGGACGAAAGUCUGACGGAGCAACGCCGCGUGAGUGAUGAAGGUUUUCGGAUCGUAAAGCUCUGUUGUUAGGGAAGAACAAGUACCUUUCGAAUAGGGCGGUACCUUGACGAUACCUAACCAGAAAGCCACGGCUAACUACGUGCCAGCAGCCGCGGUAAUACGUAGGUGGCAAGCGUUGUCCGGAAUUAUUGGGCGUAAAGGGCUCGCAGGCGGUUUCUUAAGUCUGAUGUGAAAGCCCCCAACUCAACCGAGGAGGGUCAUUGGAAACUGGGGAACUUGAGUGCAGAAGAGGAGAGUGGAAUUCCACGUGUAGCGGUGAAAAGCGUAGAGAUGUGGAGGAACACCAGUGGCGAUAGCGACUCUCUGGUCUGUAACUGACGCUGAGGAGCGAAAGCGUGGGGAGCGAACAGGAUUAGAAACCCUGGUAGUCCACGCCGUAAACGAUGAGUGCUAAGUAUUAGAGGGUUUCCGCCCCUUAGUGCUGAUGCUAACGCAUUAAGCACUCCGCCUGGGGAGUACGGUCGCAAGACUGAAACUCAAAGGAAUUGACGGCGGCCCGCACAAGCGGUGGAGCAUGUCGUUU
This 622-nucleotide ribosomal RNA is filed under the name Bacillus subtilis. RNAcentral describes it as "bacterial SSU rRNA". It matches the Rfam family "Bacterial small subunit ribosomal RNA", at positions 335 to 947 of the family's 1533-position model. Lineage: Bacteria; Bacillati; Bacillota; Bacilli; Caryophanales; Bacillaceae. The record is from RNAcentral.